This 253-nucleotide ribosomal RNA is filed under the name uncultured bacterium. RNAcentral's name for it is "partial 16S ribosomal RNA". It matches the Rfam family "Bacterial small subunit ribosomal RNA", at positions 524 to 776 of the family's 1533-position model. The record is from RNAcentral.
UACGUAGGGGGCAAGCGUUGUCCGGAAUUAUUGGGCGUAAAGAGCGUGUAGGCGGCUAGGUAGGUGGGUUGUGAAAACUGGAGGCUCAACCUUCAGACGUCGACCCAAACCCCCUGGCUAGAGUCCGGAAGAGGAGAGUGGAAUUCCUGGUGUAGCGGUGAAAUGCGCAGAUAUCAGGAAGAACACCCGUGGCGAAGGCGGCUCUCUGGGACGGUACUGACGCUGAGACGCGAAAGCGUGGGGAGCGAACAGA